UUGUACCCAAAGUAAAGACAGUGCAGUAUGGAAACAGGUCCUUUGUCCACGUAGGAUCAAUGGCCUGGAACAGUCUCCCACAGAGUAUCAGAGACUGUUCUGACUUUCAUACUUUUAAAUCCAAUCUAGAAACACACAUGUUCAAGAUAGCCUUUGAACUGUAGCUCUUUGCCUUACUUGCAUUUUUAUUUGUGCGCUUUGAUCAUGCAUAAGCAUGGAUACAAAUGCGCGUUACAAAUAUGCUAUUAUUAUUAUUAUUAUUCCAAUUUUAUUAUAAAUAUUUGAAA
Haliotis rubra (blacklip abalone) is the source of this 287-nucleotide long non-coding RNA. RefSeq lists it as uncharacterized. The transcript is spliced from 3 exons. The record is from RefSeq and is a predicted model, not a curated record. Lineage: Eukaryota; Metazoa; Mollusca; Gastropoda; Lepetellida; Haliotidae.